UUCUAUCCUGGGAGGAAAGAUUCCAAAACCUCAGGUACAUUGAGGGGGAUAAUUUCCUUAAAGACACACUGUGCAUUCAGUGGGCUCGAUUUUUGUUCUUACAUAUUUUCCAGACACUGUUCUUAGUUUUCCAGUUUCUAUUUUAUAUUUUCAGAAAUUAUUGAUACUGUUUUAACGUUUUUUUUAUAGUACAGAUUAAUAACAAUCUUAUAACACUAUAGUCUACAGACGAGGCACUUAAUAGCAAAAAGGAAGCAGCAUCCUUGCUUUUUAAUUGUAUCAUCCAACUGAUAAGUCCAUCUAAAAAGUUGGUGGCUAUGUUUUUUCUUUUUACAUUUUGGCAUGUUGGAACUUUAGUCAUUUAAAUUAAGUCCAAACUAUGUCAUGUAUUGUGGUCGUUUUCCUUUUCUUUCUUUCUUUUUUUUUUUUUUUUUUUGGCAGGUGUGGGCGGGAGAGAGAAGAAAUUAGAUGGUUAUUUAAAGUAGCUGUGACUUGAGCUGAAGAGAUCUCGUUUUCUUGAUAGGAGAGAAUAGAAGCAAGUAAUGUGUUUGCAUCGCAAGAAGCUGAAGAACUAACUAGAGGCAUCUGCAAAGACUUUUGUACCUGCUGAUGUUCCAGCACCUCUUGAGGUGCCAAACGAAGAUCAAACACCUAAACCAGUUGGUCUUACACGAGAGCAAAUUAUAGCAAUUAAGGCUGCCAUUGUGAAUUCCCAAGCUCUCGAGGAGGUGGCCAGACUUGAACAGGCUUUGAAGUAAGGCCAGCUUCCUGCGGAUCUCAAUGUUGGUGAUUAUGAUGUUUUUGCUAAAAAGGAAGAUGCUACAGAAGAUAAGAUGGAGUAGACAUCUGGGGUGAUUCAGUAUGCGCGUUGGUUUGAGAUGGAUCAUUCAUAUGCCCUCACUGUCCGGUCAUAGACAGGAUGAAAUUCUGUGGAGGAGGAGGUUUAUCUUUUGGAAGCAGAAUUAAUUAAUGCAUGUAAUUGAAGCCAAUGCCCUCCAUUUUAUCAUUAAGAACUGUUCUUUGCCUCCCGGACUACAAAAGAGAGAGUUUAGAACACGAAUAGCUUAAUAGCAUCAGGUGACAGCUGAGCUAAGGUAUGUAGCAUUGAAGUUGAAUCAGAGACUGAAAAAUAGAAUUUUUAUGCUUAUCUCAAACCUUUUUGCUGUUUUGUUUUCCUCUGGUAAACUAAAUGAAACGCCUAUUGUUUCCAGGCCAUUUGAUUUGAAAUCUAAAGUUGAGUUCCAGUCUCUCCCAACCCGAAA
This is a long non-coding RNA of Lycium barbarum (goji berry), 1262 nucleotides long. RefSeq lists it as uncharacterized. The transcript has 4 exons. Lineage: Eukaryota; Viridiplantae; Streptophyta; Magnoliopsida; Solanales; Solanaceae. The record is from RefSeq and is a predicted model, not a curated record.